Molecule: ribosomal RNA, 164 nt
Filed under: Dubautia latifolia
Lineage: Eukaryota; Viridiplantae; Streptophyta; Magnoliopsida; Asterales; Asteraceae
Description: 5.8S ribosomal RNA
Rfam family: 5.8S ribosomal RNA
About the family: 5.8S ribosomal RNA (5.8S rRNA) is a component of the large subunit of the eukaryotic ribosome. It is transcribed by RNA polymerase I as part of the 45S precursor that also contains 18S and 28S rRNA.
Source: RNAcentral
UAAACGACUCUCGGCAACGGAUAUCUCGGCUCAUGCAUCGAUGAAGAACGUAGCAAAAUGCGAUACUUGGUGUGAAUUGCAGAAUCCCGUGAACCAUCGAGUUUUUGAACGCAAGUUGCGCUCGAAGCCUUCUGAUUGAGGGCACGUCUGCCUGGGCGUCAUGC